Molecule: ribosomal RNA, 2846 nt
Filed under: Clostridium tarantellae
Lineage: Bacteria; Bacillati; Bacillota; Clostridia; Eubacteriales; Clostridiaceae
Description: partial 23S ribosomal RNA
Rfam family: Bacterial large subunit ribosomal RNA
Source: RNAcentral
AGGUCAAGCUACAAAGGGCGUAUGGUGAAUGCCUUGGCAUCAGGAGCCGAUGAAGGACGUGAUAAGCUGCGAUAAGCUUCGGGUAGACGCACAUAGUCUGAGAUCCGAAGAUUUCCGAAUGAGGAAACUCACAUGGGAAACCCCAUGUAUCCUUAACUGAAUAAAUAGGUUAAGGAGGGUAAACCUAGGGAACUGAAACAUCUAAGUACCUAGAGGAAGAGAAAGAAAAAUCGAUUUUCUUAGUAGCGGCGAGCGAAAGGGAAAGAGCCCAAACCGGAAACUUGUUUCCGGGGUUGCGGACAUAACAUAAAAGUAGAGGCUAUUGUAACUGAAGAGAACUGGAAAGUUCCACCGUAGAAGGUAAUAGUCCUGUAAGUGAAACGAGAAGACUACGAGUUAUGAUCCAGAGUACCACGAGACACGUGAAACCUUGUGGGAAGCAGGGAGGACCACCUCCCAAGGCUAAAUACUACCUGAUGACCGAUAGUGAAGCAGUACCGUGAGGGAAAGGUGAAAAGAACCCCGGGAGGGGAGUGAAAUAGAACCUGAAACCAUAUGUCCACAACCGGUCAAAGCACCAUAUGAGUGCGAUGACGUGCUUUUUGUAGAACGAGCCAACGAGUUACGGUAUGUAGCGAGGUUAAGUACUUAAGGUACGGAGCCGAAGGGAAACCGAGUCUGAAUAGGGCGACUAGUUGCAUGCCGUAGACCCGAAACCGGGUGACCUAUCCAUGGCCAGGUUGAAGCGGGGGUAAAACCCCGUGGAGGACCGAACCACGUUGGUGUUGAAAAACCAUGGGAUGAGCUGUGGAUAGCGGAGAAAUUCCAAUCGAACCCGGAGAUAGCUGGUUCUCCCCGAAAUAGCUUUAGGGCUAGCGUUGAAUAUGAGUAGUGGAGGUAGAGCACUGAAUGGGCUAGGGGGCAUAUCGCUUACCGAACCUUAUCAAACUCCGAAUGCCAUAUACUUUUAGUUCAGCAGUCAGACUACGAAUGAUAAGAUCCGUGGUCAAAAGGGAAACAGCCCAGAUCGUCAGCUAAGGUCCCAAAGUGUAAGUUAAGUGGAAAAGGAUGUGGGAUUUCUAAGACAACUAGGAUGUUGGCUUAGAAGCAGCCACUCAUUAAAAGAGUGCGUAAUAGCUCACUAGUCGAGAGAUCCUGCGCCGAAGAUGUCCGGGGCUCAAACUUACCACCGAAGCUACGGGCUUGAAUUAAUUCAAGCGGUAGGGGAGCGUCGUAAUCGGGCUGAAGUCGUACCGUAAGGAGCGGUGGACUGAUUACGAGUGAGAAUGUUGGCAUUAGUAGCGAGAUGUGGGUGAGAAUCCCACAGGCCGAAAACCUAAGGUUUCCUCAGGAAGGCUCGUCCGCUGAGGGUUAGUCGGGACCUAAGCCGAGGCCGAAUGGCGUAGGCGAUGGACAACUGGUUGAUAUUCCAGUACCACUACCAUCGUUAAUAUCGAUGGCGUGACGCAGGAGGAUAGUGUGUGCUAGCUAUUGGAUGCUAGUCUAAGCACUUAGGCAGUUAUGGUAGGCAAAUCCGCCAUAAUAAUGUUGAGGUGUGAUGGGGAAGGUUCUACGGAACCGAAGUACAUGAUUCCACGCUGCCAAGAAAAGCGUCUAGAGAGAGAAGUAGUGCCCGUACCGCAAACCGACACAGGUAGGUGAGGAGAGAAUCCUAAGGCCGGCGGAAGAAUUGCAGUUAAGGAACUCGGCAAAUUGACCCCGUAAGUUCGCGAGAAGGGGUGCCUACGAGAGUAGGCCGCAGAGAAUAGGCCCAAGCAACUGUUUAGCAAAAACACAGGUCUCUGCUAAAGCGUAAGCUGAUGUAUAGGGGCUGACGCCUGCCCGGUGCUGGAAGGUUAAGGGGAACACUUAGCGUAAGCGAAGGUGUGAACUUAAGCCCCAGUAAACGGCGGCCGUAACUAUAACGGUCCUAAGGUAGCGAAAUUCCUUGUCAGGUAAGUUCUGACCCGCACGAAUGGCGUAAUGACUUGGGCACUGUCUCAACUGCAAAUCCGGCGAAGUUGUAGUGCGAGUGAAGAUGCUCGCUACCCGCGAUUGGACGGAAAGACCCCGUAGAGCUUUACUGUAGCUUAGCAUUGAAUUUCGGUAUUGUCUGUACAGGAUAGGUGGGAGACUGAGAAACUAGGGCGUCAGCCUUAGUGGAGUCGACCUUGGGAUACCACCCUGACAGUACUGGAGUUCUAACUGGCGGCCAUGAAUCUGGUCACAGGACAUUGUUAGGUGGGCAGUUUGACUGGGGCGGUCGCCUCCUAAAAAGUAACGGAGGCGCCCAAAGGUUCCCUCAGAACGGUCGGAAAUCGUUCGAAGAGUGCAAAGGCAGAAGGGAGCCUGACUGCGACACCCACAAGUGGAGCAGGGACGAAAGUCGGGCUUAGUGAUCCGGUGGUACCUCGUGGGAGGGCCAUCGCUCAACGGAUAAAAGCUACCUCGGGGAUAACAGGCUGAUCUCCCCCAAGAGUCCACAUCGACGGGGAGGUUUGGCACCUCGAUGUCGGCUCGUCGCAUCCUGGGGCUGAAGUAGGUCCCAAGGGUUGGGCUGUUCGCCCAUUAAAGCGGCACGCGAGCUGGGUUCAGAACGUCGUGAGACAGUUCGGUCCCUAUCCGUCGCGGGCGUAGGAAAUUUGAGAGGAGCUGUCCUUAGUACGAGAGGACCGGGAUGGACUGACCUCUGGUGUACCAGUUGUUCUGCCAAGAGCACAGCUGGGUAGCUAAGUCGGGAAGGGAUAAACGCUGAAAGCAUCUAAGCGUGAAGCCUACCUCAAGAUGAGAUUUCCCAUAGCAUAAGCUAGUAAGACCCCUUGAAGAACACAAGGUUGAUAGGUCAG